AUGAGGCCGGAUAGGAAAACACCGCUUACUGCAUACGGGGAAGACACCACCCAGGGCAGAGCGGCGGGGCAGGAGCACUGCCCUCGGGGGAACACAAAGAAUUGGCGUCCGCGGCGGCUCGGCUGGGCCCAGCCGGGGGAAGGCAGCGCGGGCCGCCCGCCUCCCGCAUCCCGCCCGCCGUCCCGCCACAGCCGCUGCCCGGCCCUGCCCGCCCCACGGCCGCCCCGCGCGCGGCCGCCCACGCCCACGGUCCGCCCCCGCCGGCUCCUGCGCGAGCACUUCCUGCCCACGCCCAGGGAGCCCGCAGCGCGCACACACCCCUCCGCCCGAUGGUUCCUGCCCGGCCCCGGCGUUCCCCCCUCCCGGCCCCCGGGAGGAUGGUUCCUGCCCGGGCCCAUCAUCUCAGCCCUUCCCAACAGUCGCCUCCCUCCCCUCCGCGAAAAUACUCGGCCCACAAUAUGGCGGCUGACAAAACAGCUCCAGCGGCGCCUCCCCCAGAGCGCCGCGCUCCGCUUCCCCCCGCGCCGCCUCGCCCACGGCCGCUCGUCCUCCGCGCCGUCCCCCCGCGCCGAGCCCGGCCUCGCCACCCUUCCUCCCUUUCCCCUCCCGCCUCCGGACCGACCGGCCGGCUCGGCCGCCACGCCGCCCGCCCGGCUUCACUCACGUUGUGGGAGCCGCGGAGCGCGGCUGACAGACCUCCCGCUCCGCCUCUGCGCCCGACGCUGCGGCCGGUCUAAUGGCGGCGGUCCCGCCGGCGCUGCUGCCGCCUGCUCCCGCGUCCGGCGGCCGCGGGCGGGCGAGCGGGCGCUGAAGGGGCCGCGCUGCCCGCGGCGGCGGGUACCCGGCGCUGGGUACGGGGCUGCUGCCGUCGCCGGGCACAGCGCAUUCGUGAGGCGCGGCGCAGAUCGCGGUCCGGCUGCGGGCUCGGCGCUCGGCUCCCCGGGCUCGGCAGCUCCCCUCCCCCCUCGGCACAAACAAUGCGGCUUCACCACAGCGCUGCGCCGACGGGGGGGGAGGGAGAGGGAAGGGACGUGA
Molecule: long non-coding RNA, 1035 nt
Filed under: Phasianus colchicus (ring-necked pheasant)
Lineage: Eukaryota; Metazoa; Chordata; Aves; Galliformes; Phasianidae
Description: lncRNA (ENSPCLG00000000830.1)
Source: RNAcentral